This is an RNA transcript of Populus nigra (black poplar), 3250 nucleotides long. It is a transcript of the gene named 4-hydroxy-3-methylbut-2-en-1-yl diphosphate synthase (ferredoxin), chloroplastic-like, with no coding region annotated. The transcript has 21 exons. NCBI's taxonomy places the organism in Eukaryota, Viridiplantae, Streptophyta, Magnoliopsida, Malpighiales, Salicaceae. The record is from RefSeq and is a predicted model, not a curated record.
UUAUGUCCAUGUGGUAGAGCAAUAUUUAUAUAAAGUUGUAAACACUAGCGGUUAUAUUUGUAGUUCGUUGGCGGGUCGUGCUCCCGUCACCCGGAAUAUGGUAAAACGGUCCCGGAAAGAUUCCUAGUUUGUCUGGUUUUUGCUAGCACAUGAAAUCCAAUUUCUUGAUCUGUUAUCACCAGCAAGCAAUUGAUAAUUUCCUAAAUAUUUACAUCUGCUCCAAAAAAACCUAAAUAGAAAUUCUGGAUUUCUUUGUUUUUUUAGAAAAGGUAUAUUCCUUUCCUUAGCAGCACAUGUAUGAAUAUGAAUUCGUUAAAAACAACCAAAUAUUUGUCGUCUGAUUCUAUAAGUAAUCUGUACUUCUUCUAUCUGCUGCUGUUGUUUUCACUCGGAAAAAAGAAGAAGAAGAUUUCUCGAAUCCUCAGACACAGACAGAGAGAGUGAAGUCCUUCUGAACUCCCUACCACCGCAGGUAGAAAUGGCGACUGGGGCUGUACCAGCAUCAUUUUCAGGGUUAAAGAUGAGGGAAUCAAGCUUAGGGUUUGGAAAGAGCGUGGAUUUCGUGAGAAUUUGUGAUACAAAGAGGAUCAAAUCCGGUAGAAAAAGAAUUUCAAUGACUCAAAACUCUAAUACUGGUCCUGGGACUGUUGAGCUUCAACCUGCAUCAGAAGGGAGCCCCCUAUUAGUCCCAAGAAAAAAGUAUUGUGAAUCUAUAAACAAGACUGUCAGAAGGAAAACACGCACUGUAAUGGUGGGAAAUGUGCUUCUUGGUAGUGAGCAUCCUGUAAGGGUUCAAACUAUGACCACAACUGACACCAAGGAUGUUGCUGCGACAGUUGAACAGGUGAUGAGAAUAGCAGACAAGGGAGCAGAUAUAGUUCGGAUAACAGUUCAAGGGAAGAGAGAAGCCGAUGCCUGUUUUGAAAUCAAAAACUCUCUUGUGCAGAAAAAUUACAAUAUUCCUCUGGUUGCGGAUAUUCAUUUCGCUCCAUCUGUUGCAUUGCGAGUAGCUGAAUGCUUUGACAAGAUUCGUGUCAACCCAGGAAAUUUUGCUGAUAGGCGGGCUCAAUUUGAGAAGCUAGAGUACACAGAAGAUGACUAUGAGAAAGAACUUGAGCAUAUUGAGAAGGUUUUUACUCCAUUGGUUGAGAAAUGUAAGAAGUAUGGAAGGGCAAUGCGUAUUGGAACAAACCAUGGGAGUCUUUCAGAUCGUAUAAUGAGCUACUAUGGAGAUUCUCCUAGGGGAAUGGUUGAAUCUGCAUUUGAGUUUGCUAGGAUAUGUCGGAAGUUGGACUUCCAUAAUUUUGUCUUUUCGAUGAAAGCAAGCAACCCAGUUGUCAUGGUCCAGGCAUACCGUCUACUUGUAGCGGAAAUGUAUGUUCAAGGUUGGGAUUAUCCAUUACACUUGGGCGUCACUGAAGCUGGAGAAGGUGAAGAUGGGCGGAUGAAAUCUGCAAUUGGCAUUGGGACUCUUCUUCAGGAUGGUUUGGGUGAUACAAUUAGGGUUUCACUUACAGAACCACCAGAAGAGGAGAUAGAUCCCUGCAGAAGGUUGGCCAAUCUUGGUAUGAGAGCAGCUGAAAUUGAGCAAGGAGUGGCACCAUUUGAGGAAAAGCACAGGCAUUACUUUGAUUUCCAGCGCCAAUCUGGUCAAUUGCCAGUGCAAAAAGAGGGUGAGGAGGUGGAUUAUAGAGGUGUCCUGCACCGUGAUGGCUCCGUGCUCAUGUCAGUCUCUUUAGAUCAGUUGAAGGCACCCGAACUUCUCUAUAAGUCACUUGCAGCAAAGAUUGUUGUUGGGAUGCCUUUUAAGGAUCUGGCAACAGUUGACUCAAUAUUUUUGAGAGAGCUCCCACCAGUGGAUGAUAACGAUGCUCGGCUAGCUCUCAAAAGGUUGAUAGAAGUUAGUAUGGGAGUAAUAGCUCCUUUAUCAGAGCAGCUAACAAAGCCAUUACCCAAUGCCAUGGUUCUUGUCAACCUUAAGGAGUUGUCUACUGGUGCAUACAAGCUUUUGCCAGAAGGUACACGCUUGGUUGUGUCUUUACGUGGCGAUGAGCCCUGUGAAGAAUUGGAAAUUCUCGAACAUGUUGAUGCCACAAUGAUUCUUCAUGUUCUACCCCUUUCAGAGGAUAAGAUUGGCAGAGUGCAUGCAGCAAGGAGGUUAUUUGAGUAUCUUGCAGACAAGGCUUUGAGUGUCCCUGUGAUUCACCAUAUUCAGUUUCCAAAAGGGGUUCGCAGGGAUGACCUGGUCAUUGGUGCUGGUACAGAUGCUGGAGCUCUUUUAGUAGAUGGUCUAGGAGAUGGUAUCCUUAUUGAAGCCCCGGACCAGGAUUUUGAUUUUCUCAGGAAUACAUCUUUCAACUUACUACAAGGUUGCAGAAUGAGAAAUACAAAGACGGAAUAUGUCUCAUGCCCUUCAUGUGGAAGAACUUUGUUUGAUCUUCAAGAGAUAAGUGCAGAAAUACGAGAAAAGACAUCACACUUGCCUGGUGUCUCGAUCGCAAUCAUGGGUUGCAUUGUGAAUGGCCCUGGGGAGAUGGCUGAUGCCGAUUUUGGGUACGUCGGUGGUGCUCCUGGAAAGAUUGACCUUUAUGUUGGGAAGACGGUGGUAAAGCGUGGAAUUGAAAUGGAGCAUGCCACUGACGCCUUGAUCCAGCUGAUUAAAGAUAAUGGCCGCUGGGUAGAUCCUCCUGCUGAAGGGUAAACUGACAGAUAGUUCCAGUUCCACAAUCUUGAAUAAACAAAGGUCAGAAAUCCAUGAUACAGCACAACAGUCAAUCACUACCGCGGAAAAUAUACCUGUCAGCGUAAUGUCGUACUGCAUUCUCUCUCUCUCAACAAUUACAUGAUUCCUCAGUAUACUGAAGAAUAGCGUUGUUAAUGGCAUAAUUGUUGCAUCCGUCCCGGCUUGGUAGGUCAAUUCAAAACUCGGGUGAUUGAUGUAGAGUGUCUAUUUUAUUGAAAACCUGAGUUUAUAAUUCCAGAAAAAACCAGUCGACUAACUUAGUGGAGGGUCCUCCUAUAUUCUAGAUGAUUAUUUUGUUUUUGUUUGAUUGUAUCGGUUAAGGAUUUAUCAUGCGGUUUGAUAAAAAGAAAAAACCUCAACUGGGGUGAAAACAGAAGCCUUUGUAUUUUGAAUUCUUCCUUUCCGAUAUUCAAUAACGUAUGAGCAGGGAGGGAAUACUGGGACCACCAACCUCCCUGCUGAUAUGCAUAUAUUUUAUAUCAUGUGUUGUUGAGCGCGUUUUGAAUU